Molecule: long non-coding RNA, 1075 nt
Filed under: Salvia miltiorrhiza (redroot sage)
Lineage: Eukaryota; Viridiplantae; Streptophyta; Magnoliopsida; Lamiales; Lamiaceae
Description: long non-coding RNA (SMIL_LNC006297)
Source: RNAcentral
CACUGUGUACGAGGCCACAAACUUGAAUACACAUCCCCCGAUAGGCAAAUCGGGAUUGAUAGUAUUCUUUUGGACAUCGUCUUGACAGAAUGUCUGCUCUAGUUGUUCCACCUUCCAUUUUUUAGCGUCAUCAUCGAUGAAAUCAGCCACUCGACGAUUUUCGAUCUCCCAAUUGAGAAUCGUGGAUGGUUUACAAUGAUAAGUGCAUUACACAUUCCUGAAUCAAUUAAACACUUAUCCCUUCUAGGUCUCAAACUGAAUAACUAAACAUGCAAAUUAUUGAUAAGAUAAUUCACAAGUAACAAGCAUCAGGAAUUGUAAAUCAUAAAUUGGAAGACAAUAUGACAUUAAUAAAUCAAUCACAUAAAUUCUAUCAACUAUCAAAUACUAGAAUCGAAAAAAGAACUAGCCAUACAUAAUUAAAUAACAUGUACAAGACCGAGAUUUUCAAGAAGUCUCUUUCCAACGGCUCUAUUCGAAACUCCUAUAUAUAUUAUAAGAUCGUAACCUAUGAAAAAACCCAGAAUUGUUGCGCAAUUGAAUUCUCAAGCUCUCAAGCUAACCCUUAAGCAAACAACAAUAUUCUAAAGAAGAAUUAGAAUAGAAUCAUAAAAUUCAAAGGCCAUACUUGUGAAUCCAUAUUAAGUUUCUAGCUAGACAUUUCUCAUUGUAAUAUCAUCAAACAUAGAUCUUGAACACACUUAUAUACCUUAUGUUCUUCAUUGUAACAAUGCGUUCUCAUAUAUAGUUGGAACCUACCUUCAAAAUCCCGUCACCCCUUGUAAAAUUUAGGUGUUAGUGUUAGAUGGAAAUCAGUAAAGUAAGUUACAAGUUCGUAGUCUGAAAUCUAAAGAUAGUCAGAUGCAACUGAGGAAAUUGCUUUAACGGUCACGACCGCAUAACUAGUGGUUUAGUUUAACGUAACUAACUGAUCAACUAACUUGCAGCUAUAAAUAAAAAAUCAUAACGUUGAUUGGACCAUGUCGUGGAUGUAGGAGCAGUUUACUCUGAACCACAUAAAUUCUUUAGGUACUUUACUCUAUGUUUCAUUUACUGUUAUAUUUCACUGUCAUAA